AGAGUUUGAUCAUGGCUCAGGACGAACGCUGGCGGCGUGCCUAAUACAUGCAAGUCGAGCGAAUCUUUGGGAGCUUGCUCCCAUUGGUUAGCGGCGGACGGGUGAGUAACACGUGGGCAACCUGCCUGUAAGACUGGGAUAACACCGGGAAACCGGUGCUAAUACCGGAUAAUCCUUUUCCUCUCAUGAGGGAAAGCUGAAAGAUGGUUUCGGCUGUCACUUACAGAUGGGCCCGCGGCGCAUUAGCUAGUUGGUGAGGUAACGGCUCACCAAGGCGACGAUGCGUAGCCGACCUGAGAGGGUGAUCGGCCACACUGGGACUGAGACACGGCCCAGACUCCUACGGGAGGCAGCAGUAGGGAAUCUUCCGCAAUGGACGAAAGUCUGACGGAGCAACGCCGCGUGAGCGAUGAAGGCCUUCGGGUCGUAAAGCUCUGUUGUUAGGGAAGAACAAGUACCGGAGUAACUGCCGGUACCUUGACGGUACCUAACCAGAAAGCCACGGCUAACUACGUGCCAGCAGCCGCGGUAAUACGUAGGUGGCAAGCGUUGUCCGGAAUUAUUGGGCGUAAAGCGCGCGCAGGCGGUCCUUUAAGUCUGAUGUGAAAGCCCACGGCUCAACCGUGGAGGGUCAUUGGAAACUGGGGGACUUGAGUGCAGAAGAGGAAAGCGGAAUUCCACGUGUAGCGGUGAAAUGCGUAGAGAUGUGGAGGAACACCAGUGGCGAAGGCGGCUUUCUGGUCUGUAACUGACGCUGAGGCGCGAAAGCGUGGGGAGCAAACAGGAUUAGAUACCCUGGUAGUCCACGCCGUAAACGAUGAGUGCUAAGUGUUAGAGGGUUUCCGCCCUUUAGUGCUGCAGCUAACGCAUUAAGCACUCCGCCUGGGGAGUACGGCCG
Molecule: ribosomal RNA, 898 nt
Filed under: uncultured bacterium
Lineage: Bacteria
Description: bacterial SSU rRNA
Rfam family: Bacterial small subunit ribosomal RNA
Source: RNAcentral